RNAcentral lists this long non-coding RNA (1068 nucleotides) under Homo sapiens (human). RNAcentral describes it as "HSALNT0113383". The record is from RNAcentral. Lineage: Eukaryota; Metazoa; Chordata; Mammalia; Primates; Hominidae.
AGAAACUGGUCUCAGUAUCUCGUUCCAACAACAAGCAUCACCCACUACAAUAAAAACAGCAAGUAGAAUCUUUUUACUUCUUUUGUGUUUCUCAUCUCGGCAAACUGCACUACAAUCUACCAAACUGCCCGAGCCAGAAACCUAGAGGUCAGGCUGGAUUUUCCUGAGGACAUGAGGUGAAGAAGCAACCACUGCGAAGUACUAAGAGUCUUGCUCUAAAGUGCUGGGAUUACAGGUGUGAGCCACCACGCCCGGCCACAGUUGACCUGAUGCAAAGGAUGGGUCAGAAGUAUGUGCUCUGGAGCCACGCAAAUCUGCUUCAAAUUCCAGUUCUGCCAUUUAGAUAGCAGGUUAUCUACAGAUACAGAAACCAUCUAGGAGGUCUGGUGUUGGAUACAACUAUUUGUACCUUGUAAAAUUCUUACCUCUAAAUCAUUAAAAAACAAAUGAGUAUCAGCAAGAUUAAAAAUCAUUUCUUCCAUGCGGAGUCCAAGGGUUACAGCCAUGGGGGGAUCCUGUAAAGAAAAUGUACACAUAAUGAGAAACCAAGAUAUUAAACAGCAGCAAGAAGUCGAAAAUCAAGACCAGAGUUGUUACUUUACCAUAAUUAACUGCAGCUGAAGGCCUAGCAUCAAGAGAGCUUACUAAGUCACUGGGACAGCUAAUUCUAAGUGAGCAGAUUACAGCACUGCAUUUUUCCAGCUAAAGGACUCACAGAUCCAAGAAUCCCAGAAAGAUGACUGGACAUUUGGUGGGUGUAGCCUUAGCAAUGCUGGGCACCCUCCAUCUUGCCAAACUGCUGUGAGGGAGCUGCCAGCACCUGCAAUUCCACUGUUUUAUCAGGCAUGUGAGAAUGAAACAUACUUCUGGAUUGAACCCAAGUUUUAUACAGAGAUGUUUGCUCAUUUUCAUUAGAUGUUUGUAGAAUUAUGGGCACCUUAUGAAUCAAGAGUUGCUUUUUUUUAAUUUGCAUUUAAGUGUAGUGAAUGUUGAGUUUAGGGUCUAAAAUGAGGUGAUAGCAAAAUCUUGGAUAGAGGAAAAAAGUGGGAUAAUAAAGGCACUAACAGG